AGAGAAGACAUGCGCGCAUAUCAAUAAGCGGAGGAAAAGAAACUAACUAGGAUUCCCUUAGUAACGGCGAGUGAAGCGGGAAGAGCUCAAAUUUGAAAUCUUCAAGGUUCUACCUUGACGAAUUGUAGUUUAAAGAAGUGUUUUCUGCUGGAGUUUUGGUAAAAGUUCUUUGGAAUAGGACAUCAUAGAGGGUGAGAAUCCCGUAUUUGACCAUUAUUUUCAGCUUUGUGAUACACUUUCAAAGAGUCGGAUUGUUUGGGAAUGCAGUCCAAAAUGGGUGGUAAAUUUCAUCUAAAGCUAAAUAUUGGCGAGAGACCGAUAGCGAACAAGUACCGUGAGGGAAAGAUGAAAAGAACUUUGAAAAGAGAGUUAAACAGUACGUGAAAUUGUCAAAAGGGAAGCGUUUGACACCAGUGUUGUUUUCUCGAAAAUCAAUUAAAAAUGGCUCGAUUUUGUAUUGCUGAGACCUUAAAAGCUCACUGUACAUUUUUCGUGUCUUUUUUAAUGCACUUUUCGUUUAACAAGUCAACAUCAGUUUCUUUUGUUGUAAAAGGGUCAUUGGAAGGUGGCUUUCUUUUCGGAGAAAGUGUUUAUAGCCUUUGGCCUCUGCAAUCGAAGAGACUGAGGUCUGCAGCGUAGACUCAUCGGGGUUAGAUACAUUUGUGCUAAGUUAUAGCCUUUUAUAGACAACUUGUUGACUAUGAUUAGUCAUUGUAGCUUACUCGCUUAUGCUAUUUUACCUACGCUUAGGAUGUUGAAGAUGUAGCACAUCAU
RNAcentral lists this ribosomal RNA (774 nucleotides) under uncultured Neocallimastigales. RNAcentral describes it as "partial large subunit ribosomal RNA". It matches the Rfam family "Eukaryotic large subunit ribosomal RNA", at positions 17 to 634 of the family's 3401-position model. The record is from RNAcentral. Lineage: Eukaryota; Fungi; Neocallimastigomycota; Neocallimastigomycetes; Neocallimastigales.